UGGCUCAGUUGGUAGAGCAUGGUGCAUGCAACACUAACGGUUGUGGGUUCAAUUCCCAC
Molecule: transfer RNA, 59 nt
Filed under: Salmo salar (Atlantic salmon)
Lineage: Eukaryota; Metazoa; Chordata; Actinopteri; Salmoniformes; Salmonidae
Also listed under: 1 other name
Rfam family: tRNA
About the family: Transfer RNA (tRNA) molecules are approximately 80 nucleotides in length. Their secondary structure includes four short double-helical elements and three loops (D, anti-codon, and T loops).
Source: Rfam by way of RNAcentral